Long non-coding RNA from Oenanthe melanoleuca, 302 nucleotides. RefSeq lists it as uncharacterized. The transcript has 3 exons. Lineage: Eukaryota; Metazoa; Chordata; Aves; Passeriformes; Muscicapidae. The record is from RefSeq and is a predicted model, not a curated record.
CCCCACAGCAGUGCCUGCCCGCAGCCCCACAGCAGUGCCUGCCCGCAGCCCCACAGCACUGUCUGUCUGCAGCACCACAGCAGGGUCUCUAAAUGUCACCUUUGAUGGGUCCUGAGGAGGAACUUGAACCAGAACUGUCAAUGAAUAACAAGAAUUGUUGCACCUUAUCCUCCUGAUUAUUGACCCAGAUCUAUGACAAUUUCUGUGCCUUAAUCAAUGCAAACAUAACACAGUGUAGGAAGUUUUGCCUUCUUAUGCAGAAGUUUGCGUGGUUCUGAUUCCUGGAAUUACCAACAUCCAGG